ACGCCUAGUCUUCACCGAGGCUCGACUCGUCGCCUGAACCGUCGGAGCCCUCAAAACCUUCGGAACCCUUGGAGCCUUCGGGACCCUCAAGCUCGUAGAGCUCCUUUGUCUCGGCCUCAAGCCUCCUAGCUUAUUCAAUCUCGGUCGAUAGGUCAAAACCUCAGACAUGGAUCUCUUCUAUGGUCUCUCUUCGGGAUAGCCGCUUUACGUACUCAGUCUUCAUCUUUAAGUGGGUCUCGGCUACCUCCACAUCAACCUUAUACUGGGCCACCAUUUCCUCGGCAUCAGUAGAGGUUUCAUCCAAUUUAUACCUCAGUGCGGCAUAUUCUUAUCUGAGAGCAUCUAGUUUUGUGACGGCUGAGCUCAGUUUUGCCCCGAGUUCAUCAUUUAGCAGAGACCAUUUAUCGGUUGUGCCAUUCUCCACCCAGAGCUGGUUCUCGACCAAUGCCAGCUCCGCUUUCGCAGCUUCCUUCUCCAAAGCCUACAGGUCCAUCAUGCCCUUCCACACUUUGGUCAUGGCUUUAACCUCAUCCAUCUCAGCCCAAAAGUGGUCGAUCAUAUUUAUCUUUUCUUGGACUUGCGAAUUUGUGUUGUUAGUCACCACGACUAGCUGUUCAUUUUUAGCCUCUAAGAUCUUUACCUUCUCAACCAGGUCGGGUUGUUCCUGCUUCAAGGUCGAGGCGUCUUUUUGAGCCUUUACAGCUCGGCAUGGAGAAUCAGGAGGUCUUUGAGACCCUCGUCCUGCUUCUCACUAAGAUCCCUAUACAUGUCCUUCUUCCGGACAUGCUCUUUGAGCUCGAACUCGAUCCAGCUAAUCUUGAAGCGAUACUAGAGGAAGCUUUCAUGGUGAAGCACUAAAGCCUGGAAAACAAUGAAGUUAGUAGAGGACAUCAAAAACCAAAAUGAGAUUCACAAAGGGGUACAAAGGGCUGACGCAUUACCUGGUUCAGCGCCUGCUGUACCACGUUGAAGAGGCUCGCGUGCCCACCUCGUUCAUCUUUGCAUGCUCCUACUCAGUUAUUAAUGCUCGAACUCAUCCCCCUUCACCCCCCGCUCUCGAUGGGAUAUCCUUCUUCGGGACCUCCAUGUGACCAUGCCUGGAAACUUUCUCUAGUGCGACUACAUCCAUGCCAUCGAAGAACAUGUUGAGGGCGUCGUUUGGGCUCUACGCCACCCCGCUUGACUUCUCUUUGCCCUCUUGGGCCUCUUUGAGUAUGGACUCGAUAUAGGAGGGUGUCUCCAUGAUGUCAAUGACACCGGAUGCCUCCUUCGAGAUAGGAGCGGCUUCCUGGGGGGCCACAACCUCCGUCUCUCCCUCUAGUUCCUGAGUAAGAGGGGGAUCGACCUCAUGGUCCUCUAUCUCGGUCGUUUCCUGCUCCCCCUCGUUAAGGAUCGACCCAUGUGCAAUAAAAAGGUCAUAAUCCUCGGGCUCAUCCUUGAGCCGGUAGAGAUAAUCGGGCUCUAGUACCUUAGACUUGGUGAUCACUUUCUUCUUCUUCGCCUCGGCGUCCGGAGAACCUGGACUUUAUUUUCUUCUUCUUCUUCUUCUUCUUCUUCUUCUUCUUCUUCUUCUUCUUCUUCUUCUUCUUCUUCNNNNNNNNNNNNNNNNNNNNNNNNNNNNNNNNNNNNNNNNNNNNNNNNNNNNNNNNNNNNNNNNNNNNNNNNNNNNNNNNNNNNNNNNNNNNNNNNNNNNNNNNNNNNNNNNNNNNNNNNNNNNNNNNNNNNNNNNNNNNNNNNNNNNNNNNNNNNNNNNNNNNNNNNNNNNNNNNNNNNNNNNNNNNNNNNNNNNNNNNNNNNNNNNNNNNNNNNNNNNNNNNNNNNNNNNNNNNNNNNNNNNNNNNNNNNNNNNNNNNNNNNNNNNNNNNNNNNNNNNNNNNNNNNNNNNNNNNNNNNNNNNNNNNNNNNNNNNNNNNNNNNNNNNNNNNNNNNNNNNNNNNNNNNNNNNNNNNNNNNNNNNNNNNNNNNNNNNNNNNNNNNNNNNNNNNNNNNNNNNNNNNNNNNNNNNNNNNNNNNNNNNNNNNNNNNNNNNNNNNNNNNNNNNNNNNNNNNNNNNNNNNNNNNNNNNNNNNNNNNNNNNNNNNNNNNNNNNNNNNNNNNNNNNNNNNNNNNNNNNNNNNNNNNNNNNNNNNNNNNNNNNNNNNNNNNNNNNNNNNNNNNNNNNNNNNNNNNNNNNNNNNNNNNNNNNNNNNNNNNNNNNNNNNNNNNNNNNNNNNNNNNNNNNNNNNNNNNNNNNNNNNNNNNNNNNNNNNNNNNNNNNNNNNNNNNNNNNNNNNNNNNNNNNNNNNNNNNNNNNNNNNNNNNNNNNNNNNNNNNNNNNNNNNNNNNNNNNNNNNNNNNNNNNNNNNNNNNNNNNNNNNNNNNNNNNNNNNNNNNNNNNNNNNNNNNNNNNNNNNNNNNNNNNNNNNNNNNNNNNNNNNNNNNNNNNNNNNNNNNNNNNNNNNNNNNNNNNNNNNNNNNNNNNNNNNNNNNNNNNNNNNNNNNNNNNNNNNNNNNNNNNNNNNNNNNNNNNNNNNNNNNNNNNNNNNNNNNNNNNNNCUUCUUCUUCUUCUUCUCAUCCUCCUCCUCCUCCUCCUCCUCCUCCUUCUCCUCCUUCGCGGCAGCCCCGAUCUACCCCGAAAUAGAGGGUCCGGCAAGCAAGGACGGAUCCUCAUCCUCGUCCAAUGGCCUUAGUAGACAAACCUAUAAGAAAAGAGAAAAGGUUAGCACUGUGUAAGUUAAGAGCAAGAUGGUAAUUAUUUAGGAAAAAACCUCACCAUGAGAACGGUCCUCCCAUUUGCCCUUCAAAAGCGCUCGGAGUAUGGAAUCUGCUUGCAGAUCCCCUCGAUCCAAUCCUUGAAUCGGGGAAUUGCAUUAGGAUCUUGGGAGACAGUUGCACAACAACAAACACAAGCAAUGAGAGAAGGAAUAAAAUGAUGUGAAUACUCAUGGAAGAUAAUAAUUACGAGAUGCAUUUCAUCUCUCGGGGAAGGGCAAAAACUCGGGAGGGAUCAGGUCUUCAGUUUUCACCGGAACGAAUCUACCAUGCUAGACUCGAUCUCAGUCCUCGUUGAUGCUUGCGAAAGGAGCCUUCCUUGCUCGGAGAACGAGCUUGAUCAGCCCCCCUUGAAUAAUUUGGGACUGUAUAUGCGGAGUAAAUGGUCAAGGGUAAACCCUAGGGCUUCGGUAUUGUUCACGAAAUAGCGUAAGAGGAUCACGAUCCCUUAAAAAGAUGGGUGUAUUUGCCCAAGGCAUACCUCGUACCUUUUGCAGAAAGCAAGAACUAUGGGUUCUUCCAGGGUGAGCGUGAAGGGGUAAAUGUAAACACUUAAAUACCCUUCACAUGAGUAGUGAUGUCGUUAUUGGGCCUAGGGGUGACCACAUCCUUACCCUCCCAAUUACAAUGUGCUCGGACUAUAGAUAAGGUUUCUUUAGUGACAGAGCAUAUAUAUCUCCAUGCUCCCUCGCCUCGGUCCUGUUGACUAGAGGCCUUCUCGGCGUGGAAGUCAUUCCUGAUAGCAGCCCCCAGGAAUGAAGCUCUUCAUAGGGGGCUCCUAAGCCACUUCGGGAACGACCACCUUGGCAUCUGUGGUUGGGUGGGAAUAUAAAGGAACGGCUUGCUGAGGCACUGACUUGGAGGUUUUUGCCAUUGUAAUAUCGGAAAUAUGAAGGUUUGAAGAAGGAUAUGAAGGUUUGAAGAAAAAUAUGAAGAUUUGAAGAUGGUAUGAAGGUUUGGGUUGAAGGUUCAAAGAAUUUAUAUGAGGAUUGAGGAUGAAGAUAUGAAAGUUCAAAGGGAAAUGUAUGAAGAUUUGGGGAAGUUAAAUAUCGUUUGUGAGUUUGAGGGUAAAAUCUAGAAUCGGAAAGUGAAAGAACUGAAAAAGGUCGAAGCUUUUAUAGGGGAAAAAUAAUCAAUGCGCAACGUUUCGCAUUCGAAGGCAGCCAUUCCGUGACUAACACGUGUCCGAAGUCAAAUGAUACGACUGAUGGGACGUUUUGAUUUACUUUUCACCUCAAUUUUAACGUACGAAGGAAGGAACCUGGGUUCAUCUGUCAUUUCCCAUCAUUUCGGCAAACCUAUUAUCUGAAAAACGAAGGGACUAUCUGUAUACGGGUAAAAUUAGAGAUAAUACAUACCACGAUUUCCCGGUGAAGAAAAUGGAAGAAGGGCACGGAUGCACGAGAUUGAAAUCGAGGUUGAGAGCCCUUCAUAUCGAGAUCCAUGAAAGGUGAACGAUGUGCUCAUCAUCGAACCUGAUGAAGCGACACGUUCCAGACCCAGGAUGACUUUUAGACCUCGGAAAAUACGAUAAAAAGUUACACUCGACGGAUAGAGGGCAGUGAUAUUCGCACCCAACCAAAUAUCACGGCGCAGAUCUCGCUUGAUAUAUGUUACGGAUCAGUAAUUAACGAGAAAGGGAGAUUUUUACCCUUUUUAGACUUAUAUUAGGGAUGCAACUCUCCUACUAUAUAAAGAGAAGGUUUUUCUUUUGUAAGAAACAUUGUAACAGGCGAAUCAAAGCAAUACAAAUUCAUUUUCUGCCUUUUAAUUACUGUUAAAGUUGUUGUUCACUUAACCUGCUUUUCAUUCAUGACUGAGCUCGAAUCGAGGAUCUGAUCGAGGACGAGGUCAUUGUUUCAUCUAAGUUCAGGCUUGGCCAUAAUGUCACAAUUGGUUUGAUCGUUUAAUUCGUCUUUAAUUUAUUUAUCUAAUAUACUUAAUUAUUUGUAUUGAAUCAAACCACAUAUCCUUAAAACCGCUUACAAAUUUAAUUGUUAUCCGAUUUAAGGGUAAACAGAGGUCAAGGUAAUUUUUUGUUAUUUAUUAGAGAGACGAUAUCUUUUUAGGUCAAGGUAAGUUUUUGUUAUUUUGUAGAGAGACGAUAUACAAUAUUAGUAUUAAACUGAAUUAGUAUCAGUGCAUGCAUAUAUAUGCUUCGUAGAGCGUCUAAACUGCUAAGUUGAACCACAAUAUUACAAGAGUUGGAAGAAAAUGUCAGUUGGUGGAUCGUACCCAAUGAUGUCAUAAUUUUUUAUUUAAAAACAAUUCAACUUUAAAGUUUUUACUUUAUUUUUAGAUGAUUUAUAGGCACAUAAAUAUCUCUAACUUAUUUUAGACCACAAGUUAUUUUUCUAUCUUACUUAAAUUUGUGUCGAGUCAAAUAUUGUCACAUAAAUUGGUAAAUUGGGUUGGAGAGCGUAGUACUUUAGUAUAACAUCUUCUUUUAAGUUCCUCCUUUGCAAGUAAAUCAGAGCGAAGUUUUUUGAACUAAUUUCGAGUUGAUUAGAUCUCUUCAUCCUCAAUUUUGUCAAGCAUCUCCAUUUUCUCACUGAUUAGUGUUAAGUGUAUUCAUAAAAGACAUAAAUCUAUCAUUCCUUAGUGUAAAUAUAUCAUGCUGACAAAAAAAAUCACUUCUCUCGAUUCCUUUUUUUUUUUUGUUGUAGAUCACUCAAUGUAAUACUAGCAUUUAAAAAAAAAAAGGAUAUGGUUUGGGAUUCAAUCGAACGACUAGAAUCAAGACUCGCCGACACGUUCUAUUAAAUGGACCCAACCCAAUGAUGACGAAAGGUCCAAUCAAGUAAUAAAUCAAAGGACCAUUUGACUCAGCUGAUUUAAUUUCUCUCUGAAGAUAAUAAAGAAGUGUAUUACAUGAGGGAUUCUUGUGAUUCACAUUUCACAUCAGAAGCCCACUCCCACUAAUUGUCGACACUCAACGCUCCCUGUGUAAAUAUCAAUCAACUUGUGUUGUUGCGGAUUUCACAAUGGAUAUUCUUCCAUUUGUUUAUCAUAAAUAUUGUGGUUAAUUGAAUCAUAAUGAUAAUAAUAUUCACAACAAAUAUAUUUUCUCCUUUUCUUUUGGAAUAAUAAGAUGCAGUUUUUGACCACUAUGGUGUGUUUGGUAGGAAGGAAAAUAUUUAUGAUCUCAUUUUUCUCCAAUUAAAAGAAAAUAUUUUUCAAAAUUCUUUCUCAAUCUUUUUCAUCCUAUUUCUCAUCCUCAUCAACCCACCCCCACACCCACCCACCCAACCGCCCUACUCACCCCACCCUAAAUAAAAAUAUUUUUAAUACUAUUUUCUUUUCAUUUUAUAGAUAGAUUUUUUUUUUGUAUUUCAAUAAAUGAGUAUUUUUUACAUGAUAUAAAAAAGUAUUUUUUUCAUUUCAACAAAAAAAAUACUUUCUUUUCAUAGAAAAAAUAUUUUCUUUCGUUUCAACAAUAAAAAAAUAUUUUCUUUUUAUGAUUUAAAUCUUUUUNNNNNNNNNNUACCAAACACACCCUAUAUCUUCCGUAUUACAUACACUAAAAUAGUACACGUAACAUUCCAUUCGUCUUGGUAACUUAUCUUUUACCUAGUAUUUGGUUUGCUUUUUUGUAUAUAGUCUUACUUUGUCUUGUUCAUGUCGGACUAUUUCAUCAAUUUCAUUUUAAGUGUUAAUAUUGAGAAAAAAUCCAAUAUAAUAUAUUAUUAUAUUAUAUUAUAUUUGAACUGCUUUCCUACUCAAAUAAUUUAUUUUAUUGUUAAUUUUAAUAUAGAAAAAUAUACCUAAUUAUUAAAGAACAACUAAGAAAAAUUUUAAGAAUAUAAAUGUGUGAGAAAAAAUAGGAAAAAAUGUUAGUAAAAGCCAAUAUCACUAAUGAUUUUGCAAACAUAAAGAUCUAAAGGUGGAAUGUCAUCGAUGUUUUUACUCUUUGAAAAUAAAACCACUUGGUGGAUAAAAUUAUAAUCACGGUUAAAUAUUCAAACAUGAGAUGAACUAAUAUUAAGAAUCUAAAUCAACAGAAAAUGAAUUAUAUUUCAUGUUAAAACCAAAUAAUUAAAUCUUUCAAUUAUUUAUUUAGCAAGAGAAUACAAUUAAAUUAUUUUUUAAAUUCAUCAUAUGAGAGAAAUUAUUUUUCAAGUUGAAAAAAAUAUAAUAUUAAGAAGAUCAUACAAGUAUUUGAGGAAGCACAAUCUAAGCUAAAUCCUGAACAAGAAUAAGUUUUCAAGAUUAUAUUAUAAAAACUGACUCGGGUAUAGCGGGAUUAUCUUUUGUAGAUGCCUCCGACGGAAUCAAAAUAAUAUUUCUAUGUCAUGUAUUAUUUGCAAAUAUCAAAUCAAGAGGCAUGAUAUUAUUAGCAGUAAGAACAAGUGGUUUACCAACAACAAUUUUAUUAUGAGGUCGUACAACUCACUUUAGAUUUGAUAUACCUCUUGAAAUAACUGAAAUAACCAUCACAAAUAUGUCAAAUCAGAUCAAUAGUGCUAAAUUUAUAAGGAAAACAAAAGUUAUGGGAUGAAGCGAAUUUGGCUAAGCGUCAAACGAUCAAAAUAAUUACCCAUUGUUUUAGAGAUAUAUUGGAUAUCGAGAACCAUUUGGUAAAAACGUAAUAGUUUGGGAGGUGAUUUCUGUCAGAUACGAUCAGUAGUUCCAAAAUUGACCAAAGCAGAAACUGUAAAGCUAGCUUUCCAAAAUUAUACUUAUGACCUCAAAUAAAAAAUAUUCAAAUGACAAGAAAUAUAAAAUUAAUAACAAAUCCAACAUUCAAUGACUUCUUGCUUCCUGUCGGAAACGAAGAAGAGCAUCAAAUAAAAGAUGAUUUGGUUCUUCUAGAACACUUGGUUAUUGUAAUGAUCCGGCUGGUCGUUUUGAGUAUCUGCACUUCGCUCGGUAUUUUGAGGUCUCGAGUAUCUUCGCAUGAUGUAUUAUGACUUGUGUAAGUCGUCGGUAUUGGUUUUCAAGUUAUCCGAAAUCGAUUUGGAAGAAUGAACUUAAAGAUUUAAGCUCUAAGUUGGAAGAGUUGACCAAGUUUGAUUUUUUAGCAUUUAACCUCGGAAUACAAUUCCGUCAAUUCCGAUAGCUCCGUUGGGUAAUUUUGGACUUAGGAGCGCGUCCGAACUGUAAAUUGGAGGUCCGUAAUUGAAUAAGUCUUGAAAUGGCGAAAGUUGGAUUUUUGGAAAGUUUGACGGGGAGUGGACUUUUUGAUAUCGUGGUCGGAUUUCGAUUUCGUCAGUUCGAAUAGGUCUGUAAUGACAAAUGUGACUUGUAUGAAAAAAUUGGGAUCAAUUGCACGUGAUUUAAUAGGUUUCAGCAUCGGUUGUAGAAGUUGAAGUUUCAAAGUUCAUUGACUUGGACUUGAGAUACGAUUUGUCGUUUUGAGGUUGUUAUGCGUGAUUUGAAGCUUCGAGUAGGUUCGUUUUGUCAUAUAGAACUUGUCCGCAAAAUUUAGAUCCAUUUGGAAUUGAUUUGAUAUGGUUCGGACACUUGGUUGUGAUUCUAGAAGUUCUUAAAGUUUAGUUUGAUCCUCAUGCAUUUAGGCGUCCGAUUCGUGGUUUUAGAGGUUAUUUUGAUGAUUUGAUCGCACGAGCGAGUUCGUGUUGUGUUUCUGGACUUUGGUUCAUGGUUAGUUUGGAUCCUCAAGGGCUCGGGUGAGUUUCGGAAUGAUUUUUCAUAAACUUUGAUUUUUGGUAAUGGUAUCAUCACAGUUGCGAUGUUUUUGUCGCAAAUGCGACAACCGCAAUUGCAAAGCAGCCAUCGCAUUUACAAGGUCUGGGCUGCUGGGAAAAUUUGCAUUUGCCAAGAACCCUGCCGCAUUUGCGAAAUGUUGGUCUUCGUAUUUGCGAAGUAUUGGGUCGCAAAUGCGACCUUGACAGGAAAACUUCUUGAGAGUCGAAUAGGACUCGGAUUUGAAAACAAAAUAUAUAUUUGAACUCGUGAGGCUAUGGGUAGUCAAGACCUACCAUUGGACCCGGAUUUUUACCUGGCGGGCCAGGGGUUUGACUUUUUAGAAAUCUAAUAAAAAUCACAGUUUUAUUAAUUAAAAUUACUUUCUCUUUCAUUGUGUGAUGUAUUCAAGUCAUCGUUGGAUAGAUUGAGCCGAGCGGAGGCGAAUUUGUAAAGGAAAAGGCUAAAUUUAGUAUUGAGUUAGCCGAAUUGAGGUAAGUGUCUUGCCUAACUUUGUUGAGGGAAUUUUUCCUCCUAUUUGACAAUGUUUUCUACAUGCGGGGGUGAUACAUAUAUGAGGUGACGAGCGUAUAUAUAUGUGCCAGGGUUAAUCAUGCUUGGGGGUAGAUUAUGUAUAAUUAUGUCUUGUACAAUUACGUGACCUUCUUGCUCCAUGCCUUACUUGACUCUUAGAUACUAAGAACAUAGUAUUAAAUGUUGAAAAUCAAGAUUUAAAUUAUUAUAACUUGAUCAAAUUUGAUGGAAUUCUAAGAAUACAUUUAUGUGUCUAAUUCGGUUAUUCCUAUGCGUAGUCAUUAAUACAUUGCUACAGCCGAUCUUCUAGAGAUACUAGAUUCUAUACUUGUGUUGUUGAUCAUUUGGAGAUUUGUGGAAGUACUUGAAUAAUACGGUUCUUGAGGGUUUAUUGAAUCAUCGUUGGCUUGGAAAGUUGUGAUUGGGAUUUGUUUGGAAUAUUCGUUUAAACACUCUCCUUGAUGUUAUUUAUUCCCCAUGUGUUGUUUGUCAUUGAUAUACACAUGUUUGGUAAGGAAGAGUGUAAAGUACGAAGGGUGAUGCCGUGCCAUAGUUAUACAUUAUCAUGUGAGGGAGAGUGUAAAGCACGAAGGGUGAUGUCGUGCCAUAUUAUUUGAGAGUAAAAGCACGAAGGGUGAUGCCGUGCCAUAUUAUUUGAGAGUAAAAGCACGAAGGGUGAUGCCGUGCCAUAUUAUUGGGAGUAAAAGCACGAAGGGUGAUGCCGUGCCACAUCAUUUGAGAGUAAAAGUAGGAAGGGUGAUGUUGUGCCAUUUCAUUUAUAUUGUUAUGCUUUUAUGUUAUCGUGAGAUCAUGGCACGAUGGGUGUUUUCGUGCAGGUGAGGAUGAGGGACAUGCAUCAUGUUGUGAUAUCUGUUUUUCCGUGUAUAUGUUCACGUCUUUAUCUUGAACGGUUAUUGUCGUAUUUAUAGACCUCGUGUGACUUGUUAUUAUUGUCCUGUCCUUGCUCUCUAUUUCAAUCGUUGUUGUGUUGUACAUAUCUUGUACUUGUUUUAUUUGCAAAACACAUGCCUAUUUCCUGUUGUUAUAAUUACCUCCAUGUCGUGUCUAUUCUGUUGCAUUUUAGUACAAGCCCUUUUUCUAUGUUAGUUAUUCAUGCCUCUGCUUGUUAACUUGUAAAGAUCAUGUGAUUCCUUCUUAUUUGUUAUAUCUGUACUUAGGCCUCCAUCAUGCUAGUUAAUUGAAGUUGAUAUUCCUUAUUUUUCAAUUGUUGUCAUUACUCACAUGCUUUCCGCCUAGUCUUUUAUUGUUGCCCACAUGUAUAUCCUCGUUCAUUAUUGCUACUUGCGUAUUUCCUACUUUGUAAUUCCUAUUUUCGAUAUUUAUGUCAUCUAGUUGGUUCUAUUAUAAGUAUAUGAGGAUGAGAUAAAAGCACGAAGGGUGUUGCCAUGUAAUUAACUUGAUAUCUGAGUACAUUCCUCAUGCUAUGAAAGUUAUGAAGUGACUGUAGUGGUUUAUCAGUUUCAUUCUAAGGAAAGCGAUGGUCAAGGUAUUGUAAGAUGCUAAAUUGUGAUCACUGCUAGUAUUCGAUUAUUAUUUGCGUAUUCGUUUCAUGUAAUCUUUUCUGUUAUAGCGUGGUAUAACUCUAUUGUUGAUUUAUACUACAGGUUUUUAUCAGUGAGUAUCUUUUAACUAAAAAGCCUCGUCACUACUUCCACGAGGUUAGACGAGAUACUUACCAGUAUAUGGGGUCGGUUGUACUGAUACAACACUUCUGCACAUUGCGUGCAGAUUUUGGAGUGGAGCUGCAAGUGAUAUCGGGUGCUGACUUUGAAGAUGUUCAUGCAUUCUGGAUAUAGUUUCCACUUGUCCUUGGUAGCUUAGGUUGUGCUAAUCUCUUAAGUAAAUUUCAAACACAUCGUGUAAUUAUUUGUACUAGCUUUAUAAAUUCCAAGUCUUAGAAGGUCAUGGUUCGUACUACUAGUUCUUGGGUAAAUUUGUAAAUGUUCAGAUAAUUCUUCUCUAUUCUUACUAUAAUCUCAUUCAGAUUGUAUUUUCUGUUAGUGGCUUACCUAGCGGAUCGAGUUAGGUGCCAUAACGACUUGUGAUUUUUGGGUCGUGACAGUUAUCAACCCCAAUGGUAAUAGUAGUGCAUUUAAUAAAGAAAAUAUUUUCAUCAUUAGAUUAAAAUGCAAUUUGUGUAAAUUAUAUGAUAGAAAUUAAAGAGCUAUCUUAGCUAGCAAAAAUGAAUAUACUGAUCAACUAAAUAAAAGGUUGAUUGCUAUGUUUUAUGGUAAUGUUACACCCAAUGUUUCGUACGUAAAAGUAUGCCAUAAGUAAAUUAAUGGGAGCUCGGAAAUGAGAUGUUACAUCUCGCAUUUUCGUGUGUUAAAGUUUUUUCGUAAGUUAAUCGAUGUAAGUUUGGGAAUGAUAUUAUUUUGAGAUUAUAAAUAUUAUGCUAUUUCAAACAAGCGACAAGUAAAUUCGUGAAUGUGAAAGGGUAAGCUGUAGCGAUCCGGCAGGUCAUUUUGAGAAUUAAUGCCCCGAUCAUCUAUUCACUGCUUUCCCCGUAUCUAUUUCUAUUAUUGUGAAUUGCCGGGAUGGUUCAUCUUGAGUUUCGGAGUGUUUUGGGACACUUAGACCCUAAAUAAGAGCGUAAGUCUUAGAAUUUGGACCGUAGUCGGGGAAGUAUGAAGAUGUCUCCGGAAUAGAAUUACGUUGAUUCCGCUAGCUCCGUUGGGUGAUUUCGGUCUUAGAGGCAUGUUUGGAUUGCGUUUUGGAGGUCUGUAGCUCAUUUAGGCUUGAAAUGGCGAAAGUUGAUUUUUUGGAGUUUCGGCCCAACAGUGGAAAUUUUGACAUCAGGGUCAAAAUCCGAUUCUAAAAGUUGGAAUAGGUCCAUAGUAUUGAAUAUGACUUGUGUGCAAAAUUUGGGUUCAAUCGUACGUGUUUUGCUUGGUUUCGGUAUCAGAUGUAGAAUUUUGGAAAUUCAAGUUUUUAAGUUUGGAUUAGAGGGUGAUUCGUAGUUUUAGAGUUGUUUGAUGUGAUUUGAGUGAUCAACUAAGUUCAAAUGAUGUUUUAGGAUUGAUUGGUAUGUUUGGUUGAGGUUCCAGGGGCCUCGGGUGAGUUUCGGAUGCUCAACGGGUCAUUUUUGGACUUAAAGAAGUGGCAGAUUUUCUGGUGUUUUGUUGCAGUGAAAUCCUUCAUCGCGUUCGCGAGAGGAGUCUCGUGUUCGCGUAGAGCAUCUGGGAGAAGCAGCUAAGUGGUACUUUGCAUUCGCGAAGGUGUGGACCCUUUAGCCUACGCGUUCGCGACAUGGUCCUCGCGUUCGCGAAGGGUCUGCCAGUGUAAGCUAUGCGUUUGCGAAAGGACCCUCGCGUUCGCGAAAGAGGAAUUUGGGCCAGUGGGAUUUUUCUCAACGCGUUCGCGAAGAAGGACGCAUCUGGGCAGAAUUUAAAAAUCCAAAAUCGAGGGUUUGAGUUCAUAAUUUUAAAAAUUAAUAGAGAGCUCGGUAGAAGGCAAAAUUUGGAGAGAUUUUCGGAGGAAGUUUGUGGGUAAUGAUUCCUAACUACUUUUUUAUUAUAUCCCAUUAAUCUAAGCUCAAUUUCAUCAUUUAAUUUCGAAUUUGGGGUGAAAAUUUAGGGAAAAUUUUAGAAAAUCUUUAGGCCGAAUUUUGGGAUUUUGAUCGAUAUUUUGGUAUCGGAUUUGGGUGAAUUUGGUAUGGUUAGACUCGUGAGUGAAUGAGUGUUCAUAAUUUGUGAUUUUUACCUGAUUCCUAGAUUUUGGUCCGGGGAGGAUUUUUUGGCAUUUUCCUAUUUUCUUACCUUAGCUUUGAAUUAAUUAGUUAAACUAGUUGCUUGUAGUUUUAUUUACGUUAUGUAAUUAAUUUGAUUAGAUUUGGGCUACUUUGAGUUGGAUACUCGUGGCAAGAGCGUGAUAUCAGAUUGAUUUUGAGCUGGUUCGAGGUAAGUGGCUUGCUUAACCUUGUGUGGGGGGAAUUUCCCUUAGGAUUUUGGUACUGUUAUUAUAUGAAUGCCGUGUACGUGAGGUGAUGAGUGCGUACAUGUGCUAAUUGUUAAAAAACUCCGUUUUCUUUAAGUAAAUAUCUAUGUUUUUCCUUUAAUUGAACAAUACUAGUGUGUGAAGCCUCAUGUUUAGCUCAGGAAAGCAUGCUUAUGUGACUUAAUUGUCUUAUUUGCGUUAACUGCUUAUUUGGAUUCUGUGUAGCAUGUCUAGAGUAGGAAUUUCCUAUUUCUUGAUACGAACUUGAAUAGAACUGUCAAUUUCUUGUUAAGACUAUUGUGUAUUUACUUUGGGACUACGGAUCGGUAUUUCGAGAGAUCUCCCUGCACAUUUAUAUUUGGGACUAAGGGACGGUAUCCUGGGAGAUACCCCUGUACUAGAUAUUUACUUUGGGACUACAGAUCGGUAUCCUGGGAGAUUCUCUAUACAUUUACGUUUGGGACUACCAGACGUUAUCCUGGGAGUUCCCCCUGUUGUUAUCUUUGUGUAUUGAGUUAUUUCUUUAUGUGAUAUCAUCUUUAUUGACUGUUAGUAUUUUAAUUAUACUGUCACAUUUCAUACUGUUUUACCUUGUUAUAUAUAUAACCAGUAGGGCCCUGACCUGAUCUCGUCACUACUCGACCGAGGUUAGGCUUGACACAACUGGGUACCGCUGUGGUGUACUCAUGCCCUUUCUUGCACAUGUUUUUCGUGUGUAGAUCCAUGUUCUUCUGCUCAACCAUACUAUCCGUGAGGCGAGGUGAUUCGGAGACUUCGAGGUAUAUCUACCGCGUUCGCAGGCCUGGAAGUCCCUCUCUAUUCUCCCUUCAGUUAUAGACUUCUUGUAUUUUUCUUCGUUUAGACUUCUGGAGUUAGAACACUAUGUAUUUCUUUAGCUUGUGAUUCAUGCGAUUCCGGGUUUUGGGAGUGCUAUGUUCAGUCGAGAGUGUUAUUAUUGUAUAUGCCGAGCGACAUUUUAAACUCUUUUAUUAUAGUUACUUGUUAGUUGGCUAGUUUUGUUUCUUUAAUUCAUUUUCCGCAAAUUGUUAGGCUUGACUAGUAGACUAGGUGCCAUCACGAUAGUUCACGGAGGGAGAACUUGGGUCAUGGCAUAAGCGAAUCGAAGAAAGUGAAUUUCGGCGAAGUUUGACUUUUUGAGAUAAAUACGAUCCAAGCUACAAUACCCCGUAUUUAUGGAUUAGUGUCAUACAAGGUACCACAUGACCAUGAUAGUAAGAUGUAUAAGGUAUGUUAAAAGUGAGUAGUAUUUUAAGUAAUUUGAGAUAAUUCUUAAUUAUGCAGGUAAUUAAUUAACUAUUGGGUAAUGAGAGAUUACCUAGUUAAUUAAGGAUUUAUUGGGUGAUUAAUUAAGCACAUUUGGAUAAGUAUUAAACUCCAAGAUGGCAGCAAAUUAAGCCCAAUUUUAUGACUCAUUAGUCAUUAGGAUAGGUGGCACAUUAAGGGGUCUUUGGGCAAGACUAAUCCCUAAAAAAUGAGGCCCACCUAAAAAUUUAGUAUAACUUUUCUAGUUCAAAAAUCAUUCUCCUAACCUCUUAAAAGACUUUCAGCAAAGGAGUGUAGUAACGUUAUUGACAAAAACAUUCUGCCAAGGAAUAUAGCAACAUUAUUGACAAAGAGUUUCAGCCAAGGAACGUAGCAACGUUAUUGAGAAAGAGUUUUAGCCAAGAUUAUCUUUGCAUAGCAACGCUAUUGCUUCGAGCAUUUUAUACGUAUUUCUCCUACUCCAAUUUUACCGUCACGUAUUUUGUUGCAAUUAACGUGUGUUAGUGGAAUUGUCAAGAAAAUCGACUCAGGCAUGUUAAGGAUAUCACUUCUUUCUUUUGGUGUGAUGUAUAUGACACAAACGAAACAAGAAAAAUCCACAACUUCCAUAAAUGACUCUAUUCAUAGAAUUAUUAGAGGUGCCUAUGUUCUUGAAUUUCCAUGUGUCCUAUUAUUUUAUAAUCUAUUCAUGAGCCUCAGAAAAAUACGUAAAUUGAUUUUAUGAUAUUAAUCAGAGGCAUAAUGGUCUUAUGACACUCCGAAAGAUUUUAUUGACGUACUUCUCAUGAAUUGCAUUCAUUUACAUUGACCCAUGACCAGAUGGAGUUAUAUACGCGUAUAUAUGUAUAUUAUAUGCAUAUGGGAUAUGGAAAAAGGUUACUGCAUUAUAUACGCACAACCACCUGAUCAGCUGGUAUACGUUGAUGAUUUUACCCACAGUGGCCGAGAUGAUGUGAUGAGAUGCCCUCAUAGGCUUGAUGAUGUUAUGAAUACAUGUACUAUGCAUGACAUGACAUUGAUACGCAUAUGCAUGACACUAUAAGUAUUUCAUGAUUUACAGAGUUAUCCAGACUUACGGGUUAAGUCAUUUACUCCAUGUUUCUUUCAUGUCUUUUAUGUACUUAUUUGUGUGCCUUACAUACUCGGUAUAUUAUUCGUACUGACAUCCUUUUUUCCUUGGGACGCUACGUUUCAUGCCCGUAGGUCCCAAUAGAUAGGUCGAAAGUCCUCCAAGCAGGCUAUCAGCUCAGCGGAAGAUGUUGGUGUGCUCCAUUUGCUCCGGAGUUGCUUGUUUGGUCAGUAUGAUUUAGACAUGUAUUGUUUGGUAUGACGGGGCCCUGUCCUUUACGAUAAUAUAUACUCUUAGAGGCUUGUAGAAAGAUGCCAUAUAUACGGAUGCUUGUAUGGCCUUGCCGACCUAUGUUUUGAGUUUACAAAUAAUCAUGUUGGCCUUAUAGGCCCGUAUGUUACAUGUAUAAGUUUUUAUAUCAGGUUGGGUCGUCCUAUAUUGAAUAUUUUCCUAUAUUUAUUCUGGUUAGCCCAUGACGGCCCGUUUGGCCCAUUUGCCAAUGAAAGUAUGAUAAGAAAUAUAUGUUAUGUUGGUACUCGGUUGAGUAAGGUACCGGGUGACCGUUGCGGCCCAUAAGUAUGGGUCGUGACCGGUAAAAAUAAAAUAUUUUUCAGUUUUGACUCAGUAGAAGAUGAUACCAACAAUAACUACCAAGAAGAAUACUUAAAUACUUUAAUACCAAAUGGCCUUCUUCCGUACAUGCUUUUGUCAAGUUCAUUAUUUCUUACGUAUGUUAGUGUCACCAUAUAUAUAAUAGACUAAGUUAAAAUUGAUCUUCUAUUGCAUAUAUGUUUAUGCACGUCAUGCUACUGAAAAUUUAGAUCCGCUAAAUAGCUUAUGUAAUAGUACACAUAUGGUAUAUAGAUUAUUUAACGACAACGUCAUACAUGCAGAACUUAUGAUACUGGUCAAUGUGCUUCUAAGUAUGUGUUUAUCCCCAAAUUCAACUUUUGUCUUCCGAAACUAAAGAAUAUCCUUUUAAAUUUGUGUGAAAAUAAUUUUCAUUAUGUUUAUGUUUUAUAGUUUUAAUAAAUAAAACACAAUGACAAACAUCCUAAAUGUUGAACUAUAUUUACCAUAAUAUGUUUUCUUACACGAAUAACUAUAUGUUGCACUUUCAACAGAGAUAUCAAUAUUAACAAUAAGAGUUUUGGUUGUGGAAUAGUAACCAAAGCAUUAGAAGGCAAUAUACACAAAAAUAUAGCGCAUAUAAAGAAGUGUUUGGCAAGAUACCAUCACGUUAGAUACCUUUAAACUACAAUACAUAAUUAUCUAAUUAACAUGGCUAAACUUUUCCAUUUUCAGAUAUUACUAAUAUCAUAUUAGAAUGGCAGUUGGAAGGAGAAAGACAAUAAACCAACAAAUAAAAGGCAAGCAAAGAAACUGUUCGACUGAAUAUACCUAACAAGUUUGCCGACACUCCUCAAUAUUCAACAGAUGCCAAAAUAUGGGUCCUAAUCAUAAUGCCGACCUUUUUUAUUGCUAUCCAUACUUUAAUAUAGUAUAGUUAUGAAAAAGGUUACUAUCAAGCAAUUCAUGUGGGAGAUGAGCUGGAAUUUCGGUUCAAAGAUACUCAAGAUCUCCAUUUGUGAUUUCAAACUUUUACAUUUUUUUUUUGGGGAGAUAAUAAUAGUUUUCAGUGUAUUGUAUCGAAGCCAUAUGAAGUUAAUUAGCUAGCGAUGUCUUUAAUUCCAACAGAAUGGAUAAUGAAAUAAAUUGCUAUUGAUAUUUUGAUUUUUUGGUUCCUUUUAUUUUCUGCUAUUAAUGAGAUAAUAUAUUUUUAUUUUAUGCUUCUUAUGGGAUCAUAAAUCUACAUAUAACGUGACAUUGGUGGAAGAUUACAAAUUCUUAAAAAGAAAAAUGUUAUGUUGCUCAAUUUUCUUUCUUGAUAGCAGACAAAAUUCAAGAACAAAGACAGAACAAUAUUAUAAAAUGAGAGCAAAAUAUAGCUUUUUUGUGUACAGAAUAUUUCUAUCCCUAUAACGGAUGAUAAUCUUUUUAUUUAUAGCUCUAUUCAGUGAGACAAGAUCCCCAAAUUAAGUUUUUCUUGAAUGAGAAUAAAACUGUCAUUAAUGGAUGCAUAAUGAUUGGUUAUAAAUGCAGAUAUUCUUUGCAACUGCUGCUCAUUGAAUAAUAUUCGAUGACAAUGCUUUGAAUCUUCGUUACUGGCUACUCUAUCUUCGGAAUUCGUUCAACAUCGAUUGCAUGCUUACAUCCGGUGAUGAUUGUUUGCUGACUCAUGUGCCACCUGUAUUUAGUUCUACGUGUCACUUUGUCAUUCAUCCAACUGUCAUUAACCUAUUUUACCCCAUACAGAUACUCCCCUUACUUUUCGGUAACACAACUUAGUGUUACCGGAAAGUAGAUAAGAAUUCUUUUCUUGGCGAAAAAAUUCCUGAACGGUCUCUGACACUUGAAAGGGCACAUGUCUUCUCGCAUUUAAUGACCCAAACAUGUGUUGCUCCAUGAUUCAGCAAAUAUUUUCACUGGUUUUCGAGGUACUCAUGACUAAGAUUUUUGUUAUCUAUAACUUCUCCCCUACUCAUCAUUUUUACUCUUUACUUUCACAACUCCCUCUUCUUCCUUGAUUCUCCUUAGAACCAUUCUGUGACAUUCAACUUUCUUAGUAAAACUUUUCUUCAAACAUAUCUUCAAGCAUUACCAUCCUCGGAAACUCUGGCCUUUUCUUCAAAAGACCCCCAAAGAAAACAAAAACAAAGGAAGUUGAAGCUGAAUCUGAACCUCCCACCCUGAACUCCAUCAUACCUCUUAAACUUAAUACGAAAUCAGACCUUCAAUAACAGAAAGCACCUUCAAAUUCUAAAAGUGAUAGGUUCUGGCCUAUUCGGAGGAACCCUUCUUCCAUUCGUCCUCCUAGUGUCCUUGUCAUGAAGGAGGAAUGCCAUUGGAACAAGGUUGAAAUCCUCACCCCCAAAAAAGGUAGAAAGAGUUACCUUCUCCAAGCCAGGUUUCAUAUAUUUUUACACAUACCCUUUCACUUUGGGCCAUUUAACUUUGAGAAUGGGUGAAGGAACUGACCCAAUAAUCUUAGAGUUAUCCCAUCGAUACCAAGUAUGUUUGGCAUAAGUAGGCCUAUCUGUGUGGCGUACGGUGGUUUGCCACCACCAAUGGUGUUAUGAGACCGAGGAAACCCUAACUCUCGUACAUAUAAUGAACCUCUACUCCAAAAAGAUUUUUCGUGAGGGUAUGCUAAAUCUUAGAAAAUGCGGUGAUCAUGCUCUUCUUACUAGCAUUGACAACGACACUAACCGUGGAUGGAUGGAACAGUUUGUUAUUAUCGCUACCAGGGAUAUCAUCCUAACCACAAUACCAGCUUUUCCCAAAUCAUGAAAUCUUUUUCGUAAGUUUUUCGGGUAUUUGCUUCCUUUCCUUGUAAAAAGAAAUCUUCUUUCUUUGCUAACUUUUUAUUUUCUUUAUUCCAGCCACUCACUAGGAGCUCCAGCGGUUCAAGAUUUGGACCGAUGGGUACAAAAAAUUCUGAAUAUCACUAUACCAGAAUUCUAAAGGUGAAAGGGAAUGACUCCCAAAUACGGGUGGAAAUCCAAAAAUCAUGAUAAAUAAAACUCUUCUUCCUUUAUUUCAACCGUUUAAUACAUUCUGCAAACAAUUUAACUACCUUAUAUUGCCAAACAGGACUUCCGAACGGAUCCAUUGUGUGCCCCGACAUCGAAGCUCUUGAUGACCCAAUGGAAGCUCAACGAGUAUUUUAGAGUGCCCUUAACCAGAGGAGGGCUCGUGAAUGUACUCGUGCCUCUACUAAAGGUGCCUCCUCCCGAAGUCUCUAGUCAAAAAAUAAGCAACCAAAAAGGAAACGUAUCUCCACGGUUGGGACUCAGGAGAAGAGAAUAAUAAAACACCAACCGGACCAACCACAAUGGUCCUUGAUGAUGAAGAAGAGGUUGAUGGUGAAGAGGCCCCCUUUCAAAAAAGAAAAAGAUCUUCAUCAAUUCAACCGGAUGCUUAGCCGGGGGAGUUUCAAACUCUACCUCCAAAGGAAGUUCAAGAACUCUGGGAGGGGGAGGGGGUGAAAUAGCAAUAUCCGAAAAUGCUACAUCUCAUUUUUGGAUUCCCACAAUUGCUUCUGCUUAAAGGAUUUGAAUUCCUGACCUUCCUCCAUUGUCAACUUUUGAGCCGAUAAUAGCUUCUUCUCCAUCCACACCAACUACUUCUUCUCCACUGACCCCAGCUGAACAAGUAGGGAAUGCCCCUUCUCCACAGUCUCCCAACCAAGAAAAUUUGAGAAAUACUUAUUUGGUACCCACUCAAGACCCUCAUGGAAAACAAAGUGCCAUUCUUUCGAUUUCGAAGGAGUGCCAUAUACUUUCCAAGACGGUGGAUCUCGCCAAUUACCUGAAGUCGUUGGGCUCAGAGAAAGAUUGGAGAAAGUAGGACACUCUUUUUGUGAAGUGUCUGAUAAACAAUAACAUGCAUUGUUCGGUGCAGGUAGCAAUCUAACUUCCUCCUAUCUUCUUUUAAUUUGCACUUCGCAUUAAUUACUUUAGGUCUAACCUUUUUCAUGUCAACCUUAUUGCUUCCAAGGGCCUGCAAAGGUUGAUUUUGGACAAGCAAGAGAUUUCUUCAGAACGAGAUCAACUUUUGGUUGAAGGAAUUAGCUUACCGGGCGCCUCUCAGUGCUGGAGGCAAAAAUUGCUCAAAUAGAUGACCUCAAGGCCCGAUUCCAGCAGUCCAAACAAGAUAGAGUGGCUCACAGCUUGGAAUCCGCCCAGCUACAUGAAAACCUUACAGACCCAAAGCCUAAAUGUGUUGAACUUCAUGAUAUUGUGACUGUUGCUGCCGAGCGCGAGUCUGUCUUUAUGGAACAAGUUAAUAACUUAGAGGCUAUCUUACGCUCCAAAAUUGAGGAGGCCAAUGCUGCCAAGGAGAAUAGGGCGAGAAUGGAGGAAAGAUUCAAAAGGACCAUGGAGCAGAAUCAACUCCAUUCAUUAACCUAUGUCGAGCUGGACUCCAAAAUCAACAUUAUUAAAGCUGAAAAUGAAAAUCUCUAAUCCAAGAUUGAAAAAUUCCGAGCUAAACUCUAAGACCAAGAGGAUCCACUCGUCUUCGAGAAAACCUACACCAUUUAUUAUACGAAGAGGAAGACCUUGGAGGAUGCUAAAGAUGGAAUUUCUAACAUUGAUGAAUAUAGUGCUAAAGCACAGGAGCUGGAUACAACUACUCACAAGAAUCUCCCUACUCGGCCCAUUACAUCUGAUUCUUUGAAUACUAACUCCGAGUAAUCGGGAACCGAGGGAGAGACUGAAAAAGAUGAAGGCCUCUAAUCGGAAGUGGAACAACCUUCUCCUAAUAAAGAAAACGAAGGCUUUUCUCUCCCUUUGGGUUCUGGCAGCAAGAACUGAUGUAGUUUUCAUUACUUCUUGUAAUUGUGACAAAACUUUCCACUAGUUUGGCAAUUUAUUUAAUAAAAGAAACCAUUUACUUAAGUAUUGUGCAAGAAAAUAUUCUUUUACAUUAACUGACAAAGUUUCAGGAAUCUUUUCACAUCCGAUAGCUUUUGAUUCCAGGCAUAAACACUUCCAGAAUCUACCUUUUACUAUGAGGGUUUCAUAAGAGAGGGCCCUCGUAUUUACGAUGACAAUGUCUCAUGUUCAUUCCGGCACAACCAUUUAAAGUUUUUGUUAACACUCAAAUGAUAAAAUAAAUUAACUUAUCAUUCAGGAAAGAAUAAUAUAAAAAUAAAAGGACUUUGAUUUAUUCCCUCUAUCUUUAAAAGUAUAUUUACAUAAACAUUCAUUUGCUUAAGUAAAUAAAGGUUCCAAUACAUGUGGCUAACUUGUACAACUUAUUUCUGUGAGGCUGAUCAUGUAGUCACCGGCCCUGAUAAGAUAUUGAUCCUGGUUCUACUGGUCCCUGUCUUUAUAACACUUUUACUGCUUUGAUAUGUAUUAUUCCCACCAAUGUUCAGAUUCUAAGUGUGAGAAUUAGAACACUGAGGUCUUGCAUUCGUCGAUGACAUAUCGUAGUAUCUUUACAUUAUUGCCUUAUUAAUAGAAAUAACUUGGGGAUGGUUAAAUAAUCUACUUCCAGAUGUUAACAAGCCAAAGAUUACUUAACCAUCCACAAGUUGUUUGCCUCACGAGUUGAUCUACAUAAAACUAUUUCUGGAAGUCCCUCAUUUGUCGACGACCCUUCCUUCAUAGUAUGCUUUAUAUUGUUGCCUCAUUAAAAACCUUGCUAGAAAAAUAUAAUUGGGAUAAAAACUGGUCGAAGAGAAAAGGAGUGUAGAGCAUACUUUUAGUACCAGCAAGGAUCUUUAGCAAUAUUACCUUUUGAGGUGGGUCAUAUUCCAAUUGCUUGGCAAUUUGACUCCAUCUUGAUCUUCCAAUUCAUACGAACAUUUACCAGUUAUAGCUGAAAUCUGAUAAGUUCUUUCCCAUGUUGGUCCCAGCUUCCCAACAUUAACGUUUCAAGUACUUUGAGUGACUUUUCUUAGGACCAAAUCCCCAACUUUGAAAUAUCAUAGAUUCUCUCUGCGGUUAAAAUACAUUUGCAUCAUUUGCUUUUGUGCCAUUAUCCUUACAUACGCCAGAUCCCCAUGCUCUUCAAGCAAAUCUAAUUUAUCCAGCAAUGAUUCAUUGUUUGCUUUUUCUUUUGCUCGGAAAAACCCUAUGUUCAGUUCCCCCACUUCCAUCGGUAUCAAAGACUUUUAAUUGUAUACAAGUGAAAAGGGUGUUUUAUACGUGCUCGACUUUGUCGUGGUCUGGUAUGCCCAUAACAUACCCGGUAGCUCAUCUGGAAACUUGACUUUAGCAUCUUCUAACUUCUUUUAAGGUUUGAAUAAUUACCUUGUUAGUCGACUCCACCUGUCCAUUAGCACUCGAGUGGUAUGGUAAAGAUGUAACUCGUUUGAUCUUCAAUCCUUCCAAAAACUUUGUCAGUUUGGAAACUAUGAAUUGUGGUCCAUUGUCACAAGUUAUUUCUAUUGGUUUUCCGAAUUGGUAAAUUAUGGUCCUAUAUAAAAUUGACCAUCUCUCAUUAUUCGAUCUUUUGGUAAGCACAUGCUUCAACUUAUUUAGUAAAAUAAUAAUUUAAAACCAAAAGAAAUUUUACCUUACCAGGUUCUAGUGGCAAGGGACCCACUAUGUCCAUCCCCCAUUUCAUAAAUGGCCACGGUGACACCACCGAAUGCAAAAGUUCUACAUAUCAAUGCACUAACUGUGCAUGACGCUGACAUUUAUCACACUUUUGUAGAAUUAUCUUUGCAUCUUGCUACAUCCGGGGUCAAUAGUAGCCAGCUCUGACUAACUUGAGAAUUAAUUAGUCUACACCAGAAUGGUUCCGGAAUACUCCUUCAUGAACUUCCAUCAUCACAUAGUCAGCCUCCGAGGCCCCUAGACACAAAUCUAGUGCCCCUUGGAACGAUCUCAUGUAUAACUGUCAAUCAAAAAGAUAGUAACGAGUCACCUUGGUCCGUAGUGCCAAGGAUUCUUUUGGGUCUUCUAGAAAUUUGCCAUGUCUUAGAUAUUCAAUGAACUCGUUCCUCCGGUCCCAUAUUAAGUUGGUUGAAUUAAUUUCACAGUAGCUGUCCACGCCCAACACCGAAUAUAGUAAUUGAACGAAUAUACCAGAAUCAGAUCCUUCCAUCUCUGUGGAUGAACCCAAAUUGGCCAAUGCGUCUGCCUUCAAAUUUUCCUCCCUUGGAAUGUGGACGAUUGACCACUCUGUGAAUCGUGUAAGUAAUGGUUGAACCUUGUUCAAGUUCUGUUGCAUGCGCUACUCCUUGGUGUCGAAAAUUCUAUACACUUGGUUUACCACCAACUGGAAUCGCAUUUUAUCUCGAUGACCUUGGAACCUAGUCCCCGAGCUAGUUCAAGUUCUGCAACCAAAGCCUCGUACUCGGCUUUAUUGUUAGUUAAUGGUAAAAUUCUAUUGGCCUUCCUUAGGGUUUCCCCCAAAUGAGUGAUUAAAAUUACACCAAAACCGGACCCUUUUACGUUGGAGGCUCCAUUUGUAAACAAGAUCAGACUCUCUAUACCAUUCCCGAUACCAACAAUGCUUCUUUAGCAGUAAAGGCAUUAAUUCCGAACUGAAAUCAGUCACGAAGUCGGCCUAAACUUGUUACUUAAUUGCAGUCUUGGGCUUGUAUUCAAUAUAGAAUUCACUAACUUCGACCACCUACUUAGCCAAAUGACCUGACAACUCAGGCUUAUGAAGGACAUUCCUUAACGAAAAGGUUGUCACAAUGGCUAUUAGAUGACAUUAAAAAUAUGGUCUAAGCUUCUAAGAGGCAACUACGAGAGCUAAGGCCAGCUUUUCAAGGUGCGGAUAACGUGUAUCCGCUCCUGAUAAUAUUUUACUAAUAUAAUAAAUGGGAAAUUGCAUACCAUCUUCUUCCCGGACCAAAACGGCACUUACCACUACUUUUGAGACCGCUAGAUAAAUCAAUAGUUGCUCACCUUCUCCUAAUUUCUACAACAACGGAGGGCUAGAUAGGUACCUUUUUAGGUCUUUAAGUGCAUAUUGGUAUUCCGGAGUCCAUACGAUGUCAUUCUUUUUUUUCAAAAGCAAAAAAAAAAUGAUGGAACUUUUACGAAGACCUCGAGAUGAACCUUCUUAGAGAUACCAAUCUACCGGUCAACAUCUUUAUUCCUUCACGCCUGUCAGCUGGUCUGGGAUAUUCUCGAUGGAUUUGAUUUUAUUGGGGUUUACCUUAAUUCCUCUUUGAGAGACCAAAAACCCCAGGAACUUAUCGGAACCCACUCCGAAGGCAUAUUUCUUCAGGUUGAGAUUCAUGUUGUACUUUUUCAGAAUGUCAAACGUCCCUUAGAGAUGUUCCAGUUGAUCUCCUGCAUAAAGAGACUUAACUAGCAUGUCGUCGAUAUAAGCUUCCAUCGUCUUACCUAUCUAUUUUUUAAAUAUCUUAUUAGCGAGCCUCUAAUAAGUGGCUCCCGUAUUUUUAAUCCCACAAGGCAUCACAUUAUAGCAAUAUGUGGUAAAGUUUGUGAUGAAAGAAUUCUUCUUUUAAUUUUCUGGGUCCAUCGUAAUUUGAUAAUACCCGAAAUAAGCAUCAAGAAAACUCAUCAACUCGUGCCUGGCUGCAGCAUUGAUCAUUUGAUCAAUGUUCGGCAAUAGGAAAAAGUCUUUGGGGCACACUUUAUUUAAAUUCUUAUCAUCUACACACAUCCUAAAUUUUCUAUUCUUUUUAGGCACUACUACGUUAGCUAUCCACUUCGAGUACUUUACCUCUCGAAUUGAACUGAUGUUAAGUAAUCGGGUUACCUCUUCCUUAACAAACCUGUUUUUGACCUUUGCUAUCAAUUGUUUCUUCUGCCUUACCGGGGGGAAGUUUGGAUCCAGACUAAGUUUGGAGACCUCCAAAUCCAAUGGAAAAUUUGUCAUAUCUGAAUGCAACCAUGAAAAGCAAUCAACGUUAGAUUUAAAAAAAUCUAUAAGUUUCAACCUGAGUUCGGGACUCAACCCCGUUCCUAAAUGAAAUUUUCUUUCCAGAAAUUCUUCAAACAAAGCCACUUGUUUGAGCUCUUCUGCGGUUAACUUGGUUGCAUCCAUCUUUUCUGGUACCUGAAAAGACCUUGGUGCCUGAUAUAAUUCUGAUGACUUCUCGUUUUUAUCAUCUACAAUUGGGAUGGGAGAAGGCAUUGGUUCCUGUAGUUGCUAUUUGCUGGUUUCUUUGCCCUUGCUGCUGGAAAUGGUUACUGUGUUCAUCUCCCUUACAGCAGAUUGAUCUCCUCUGAUCUGCUUGAUCCCUUCUAGUGUUGGAAACUUUAACAGUUAAUGGUAUGUGAAGGUACGACCUUCAUUUUGAUGUAUCCACGGUCUUCCAAAGAUUAUAUUAUAGACCAUGUCGCCAUUUACCACUUCAAACAGGGUGGUCUUUGCUACACCUUCAGCAUGUGUGGGCAGAAAAAUUUCUCCUCGGGUUGUUAUACUUGUUAUGUUGAAGCCAGCUAAAAGCUUUGUUGAUGGAAUGAUAUUCCCAGUUAACUUUGCUUCUCUCCAUUGUAUGAUAUUGGUUGAACUUCCUGGAUCAACCAAAAUACGCUUAAUACUAAAAUCUAAAAUAUUAAAAGAAAUUACCAAAGCAUCAUUUUGCGGUAGGAUAAGUCCAUCGGCAUCUUCCAUCGUGAAGGUGAUGUCAUCUUUUGAGACUUCUCGGAUCCUCUUGCCAUGAGUCACUGAUAUAUUCGUCUUAUUUGCUGGCAAAAAUGUCACCCCAUUUACUUUGUCUCCUCUGAAGAUCAUGUUGAUUGUCAUUCGAGGUGACCCUUCUGCUGGUUUUAAUGGUUAUGUAAUAUCCCUAUUUCUCUUAGAGUUGUUUUUGGUGCGAUCGCUUAACAAUUCCCCGAGGUGACCAUUCUUUAACAAUAUUUCCACCUCUUCAUGAAGAUGUCGGCAGUCCCCAGUCCUAUUAUCGUGAGUCCCAUAGAAUUCACACCAUAGAUUAGGAUCCCUUUGGCUAGGAUCCGAUCAGAUCGAUUUUGGGAACCUAAAUUCUUUAAUAUUUCUCAUGGGCGACACUAGUUCCACUAGGGUGAUACUAAAAUUGUAAUUAAACAACCGGGGAUACGCUGAAUCUUAGGAUCAUGGCACCUUUUUCUCCUACAACAAUCUGUUACUCCGGCCAUGAUCCAUCCUUCUAUCGCAAAUAAACCUAUUCGAUGACUGGAAUCCUUUAUUAUCGUGCCCUUCGGCCUUCUCAUAAGGCUGAAAAUGACUUCUAGAGUGUAUUCGAUCUAUAUCAAAAUCAUUUUUAAACUUAUCUUGAUUUCAAUCACGAUUCCGUCCUUUGGAAGACACCGUGGAACCAAGUCGACCAUCUUCACUUCUGAUCUUUGACUCAUAGAGAUAUUAAACAUCUGCCCAUAUGGUUGCCUGAAUUUCGAGCAAGCUCUCCUGCAAUUUUUGUGAGUUAUCGGAGCUUAAUAGGUUGAGACCCUUUGUAAAUGCCUCCGUUGCCCACUCAUCUUGAACCGCAGAUAACAACAUCAUUUCUUUCCGGAACCAGAUCACAAACUCUCUUAACAAUUUAGCUUUUCUUUAAGAUAUCAUGAAUAUAUCCACCUUCCUUGCUUGGACCUUUCUUGCUCCAGCAUUAUCUUUGAUAAACGAAUCUACAAGCAUUUCAAAAGGGUCAAUAGAAUGUUUUGAUAAGAGGGAAUACCAGGCUAAGUCACCAUUCGUAAGGGUUUCACCAAACUUCUUCAACAAAACCGAUUCGAUGUAAUGCUGGGCCAAGUUGUUUUCCUUUACUGUCGUAGUGUAGGUCAUAUCAUGAUGUGCUCCUGUGGAUCCGAAGUCACAUCAUAUUUUGGUAUAUCCAACAUCUUAAACCUCUUUGGGAUUAACUUCGAUGCAGCACAUAGUUUAAACAGCAACUACAUAUACUUCUUUAAAUCUGAUCCUUUUAACAUCGGCGGCACCCCCGUGAUAUGAUCCAUCAGAGCGAAAUUCCUUUGCAUUCUAAUCCAUUCAUUCAUUCAUUUCUCUCAUUAAUCUUAUGAGCUCGGUUUUGAAAGGGUUAUUUAAAUUGUUGUUCGCAAAUUCACUACCGGUACCUCUGGCCUCGUCGAAAUUGACCUCCUCUCUUGGUGUGUCGUUAUCAGUUCCUUGAGUCGUUUGCUUUACGAGAAUGCUGGGAGGAAUCGGGGCCCUUCCAUUAGCAUUAUUAGAAGCUCCCCAUACUACAUGUUUCAAUUUUGUCAUCACCCAAUCUUGCCUUGAGAGGCGAUCCAUAAUUGCCUUUUUCUAUUCCCUCAAGAUUUUGACUAUUUCAACAACGUGCUCAUCCUUUGCAUCAUCAAGAGUUGGGCCCCGCACAUGUCGAGGAUACAGACCUUCGCGAACUAGGUUGUUUCAUCCCCUUCGUUGUGGGGCUCACUGAUUGAAUCAUCACGCGUGAACACAUCUUCUUGUUGACCGUGUACUCCAACAUUUUAAACAAUAUUGACAUCAUUAGCUGUCAUACCUUAUCUUUCUUUUUCUAAGGAAGGAAUCAAAAUUUGUCAGUAAUAGAUAAAUAGAUCAAAGCAAUUACACAAUUGUCAAUGCCCCACAGUGGACGCCAAACUGUUUACCCAUAAAAUGAUAUAGUUAGAUUUGUAACGUAGUUUAUAGACAAAUAAAUCGAUUUGGUCCUAAAGUACGAAAACAAUAAUAACCGAAACAAGAAUACGAAAUAAAACUAAUGGAAACACAAGCCCGAGUAUGAAUUUAGCCUUUCCAAUGGCAAAAAGAGAACAUUAUUCAAGAACAAAGACUGAGAACAAUAUUAUAAAAUGGGAGCAGAAUAUAGCUUUUUUGUGUACAAAAUAUUUCCACCCCUACAAUGGAUGCUAAUCCUCCUACUUACAGCUCUGUUCUGGGAGACAAGAUCCUCAAAUCAAGUUCCUCUUGAAUGAGAAUAAAACCGUCAUUGAUGGCUGCAUAAUUGUUGGCUAUAAAUGCAUAUAUUCUUUGUAACAGUUGCUCGUUGAAUGUUAUCUAAUGAAAAUGCUUUGAAUCUUCAUUAUUAAUUGGCUACUCCGUCUUCGAGAUUCAUUCAGUAUCGAUUGCAUGAUUACAUCUGGUGCCAGCUGUUUGCUGACUCACGUCCCAUCUAUCUUUUGUUCCAUGCGUCACUUCGUCAUUCGCCCAACUAUCAUUAACCGAUUUUGCCCCAUACAGGUGUAGCUUUGAUUAUCGACACACAAGUUGAGGCUGACUCCAGUAUAUUGAGGCCAAAGGCACAGACAUAUAUAGGACUAGGACUAAACCGUGUAUUUCCGAGAAAAACUUAUAUACAUACGAUACCUAAUUCAAAACAUAGGAAAAUGGUAAUUUGUUUAGUCUUUUUCCCGUUCUUUUCCCUUUUUGAAUGAUUUUAGAAGUUUAAUUGUAUUCUAAAGACUAAACAUCAAUCCUCCCACGAUACUUGAGUUUUGAAGGUUACGUGGGUGGCAUACAUAAGUUCGUUGCUCAUUCUUCAAUUGUCAUUAUCUUUUUUUGUUGUUUCUAUCGUCACUUCCUUUUCUUUGUUGCAUUAUAGUGUUUGAUCUAAUUCUUAAUGUUAGCUAGAAAAAAUGGACAGCAAUGAGGUGUUAUAUAUAUNNNNNNNNNNNNNNNNNNNNNNNNUAUAUUAGUUAGUUAAAGCGGUUAAUGAAAAAAAAAGUUUGAUAUCACUAAACAACUCAAUAAAUGAAUAUGCAUGCGAGUCAUCUAUCAUAUCCGUAUAACAAUUAAGCAUUGGUUGAUUUUCGCCACUUGGAAUUAAAAAUUUACGUAACAAACUUCCUUCAUGCAAAGAGGUGUGAACAUUGGAUUAGAACUCGUACACACUGGACAAACAAAUUAGUCCCCACAUCAACUAACUCAAGUUCCAAACUCAUAGGCUAGCUAGUUAUAACCAACACUUAUAAAUACCACUCAAUAUUAACAAGAGAAAACAUCCCAACAGCACCCAAGUAUCUUGUACUACUACUUUUUCAAAACUCAUCUGCCAUCACUUUUAUUACCAAAAUGGCUGAAGAGAAGAAGCACCACUUCGGUCUCUUCCACCACAAGGACAAGGAGGAAGACAAAACUACCUAUGGAGAAACUCCAUAUGGUGGUGAUACUGAAAAAACUACCUAUGGAGAGAAUACAUAUGAAGAGAAAACUAGUUAUGGUGGGGGAGAUAACUAUGGGGAUAACAAAUAUGGUGAGAAAACUGGCUAUGGAGAAAGUGGAUAUGGAGAGAAAACUAGUUAUGGUGAGGGAGGUAACUAUGGAGAUAGUGGCUAUGAAAAUAAGACUAGCUAUGGAGAUAGUGGCUAUGAAAAUAAGACUAGUUAUGGAGAUAGCGGCUAUGAAAACAAGACUGGCUAUGGAGAUAUUCCAUCUGAUACUACCUAUGGAGAGAAAACUAAUUAUGGUGAAGGAGAUACCUAUGGAAAAGGAGCUGCCUACUCAUCUGAGACCACUAAUUUUGAAGAGACUACUGAUGAAGGCAAAACUGGUGAGGAUUAUGAGAAAGAGAAAAAGCAC
This 29237-nucleotide long non-coding RNA is filed under the name Nicotiana tabacum (common tobacco). RNAcentral's name for it is "long non-coding RNA (NTAB_LNC004242)". The record is from RNAcentral. Lineage: Eukaryota; Viridiplantae; Streptophyta; Magnoliopsida; Solanales; Solanaceae.